GAGUUUGAUCGUGGCUCAGAUUGAACGCUGGCGGCAUGCCUUACACAUGCAAGUCGAACGGCAGCAUGAUCUAGCUUGCUAGAUUGAUGGCGAGUGGCGAACGGGUGAGUAAUACAUCGGAACGUGCCCUGUAGUGGGGAGUAACUAGUCGAAGAAUUAGUCUAAUUAACCGCCAUACGACCUCGAGGGUGGAAAGUAGGGGGACCGGCGAAGGCCGUCAUGCUAUAGGAGCGGCC
This 236-nucleotide ribosomal RNA is filed under the name uncultured microorganism. RNAcentral describes it as "partial 16S ribosomal RNA". It matches the Rfam family "Bacterial small subunit ribosomal RNA", at positions 9 to 231 of the family's 1533-position model. The record is from RNAcentral.